This 563-nucleotide ribosomal RNA is filed under the name Escherichia coli. RNAcentral's name for it is "partial 23S ribosomal RNA". It matches the Rfam family "Bacterial large subunit ribosomal RNA", at positions 153 to 757 of the family's 2925-position model. Lineage: Bacteria; Pseudomonadati; Pseudomonadota; Gammaproteobacteria; Enterobacterales; Enterobacteriaceae. The record is from RNAcentral.
AUUAACUGAAUCCAUAGGUUAAUGAGGCGAACCGGGGGAACUGAAACAUCUAAGUACCCCGAGGAAAAGAAAUCAACCGAGAUUCCCCCAGUAGCGGCGAGCGAACGGGGAGCAGCCCAGAGCCUGAAUCAGUGUGUGUGUUAGUGGAAGCGUCUGGAAAGGCGUGCGAUACAGGGUGACAGCCCCGUACACAAAAAUGCACAUAUUGUGAGCUCGAUGAGUAGGGCGGGACACGUGGUAUCCUGUCUGAAUAUGGGGGGACCAUCCUCCAAGGCUAAAUACUCCUGACUGACCGAUAGUGAACCAGUACCGUGAGGGAAAGGCGAAAAGAACCCCGGCGAGGGGAGUGAAAAAGAACCUGAAACCGUGUACGUACAAGCAGUGGGAGCACGCUUAGGCGUGUGACUGCGUACCUUUUGUAUAAUGGGUCAGCGACUUAUAUUCUGUAGCAAGGUUAACCGAAUAGGGGAGCCGAAGGGAAACCGAGUCUUAACUGGGCGUUAAGUUGCAGGGUAUAGACCCGAAACCCGGUGAUCUAGCCAUGGGCAGGUUGAAGGUUGGGU